RNAcentral lists this ribosomal RNA (449 nucleotides) under Cryptosporidium sp. RNAcentral describes it as "SSU rRNA". It matches the Rfam family "Eukaryotic small subunit ribosomal RNA", at positions 597 to 1081 of the family's 1831-position model. The record is from RNAcentral. Lineage: Eukaryota; Apicomplexa; Conoidasida; Eucoccidiorida; Cryptosporidiidae.
GCGUAUAUUAAAGUUGUUGCAGUUAAAAAGCUCGUAGUUGGAUUUCUGUUAAUAUUUUAUAUUAUUAAUUUAUUAUUAUUAAUAUAAUAUUAACAUAAUUCAUAUUACUUUUUUUGAGUAUAUGAAAUUUUACUUUGAGAAAAUUAGAGUGCUUAAAGCAGGCUUUUGCCUUGAAUACUCCAGCAUGGAAUAAUAUUAAAGAUUUUUAUCUUUCUUAUUGGUUCUAAGAUAGAAAUAAUGAUUAAUAGGGACAGUUGGGGGCAUUUGUAUUUAACAGUCAGAGGUGAAAUUCUUAGAUUUGUUAAAGACAAACUAAUGCGAAAGCAUUUGCCAAGGAUGUUUUCAUUAAUCAAGAACGAAAGUUAGGGGAUCGAAGACGAUCAGAUACCGUCGUAGUCUUAACCAUAAACUAUGCCAACUAGAGAUUGGAGGUUGUUCCUUACUCCUUC